This 2794-nucleotide long non-coding RNA is filed under the name Homo sapiens (human). Its description in RNAcentral is "HSALNT0131512". Lineage: Eukaryota; Metazoa; Chordata; Mammalia; Primates; Hominidae. The record is from RNAcentral.
UCCCUGACAGGCACUGCCACAGUGGGGAGCAUGGGACUGGGGAGAGGUGUGAGUAUCCCAGACCUCAGGUACACCAGGCUCACUGUCAUGGGAUCCCAAGAGAACGAUGAACAUUAAAACCAGUAUAUUAACAAGAAGAAUAUAUAAAUAUAAUACAAAAACCAGUAUAACUGCUAUUCUUUAGGACUGAGGUUCUCAGAGCGCUUCACCUCAUUUAAUCUCCGCAAAGCCCCUCUGAAAUGGUAGACAGAAGUGGUAAACAGCUGGGCCGGGCCAUGGGAAACGCCCGUUCUGGACAGCGAGGUCCCCAUUAGCCAGCCUUGAUCAGCAGCACCUGACACAGAAGGGCCCCGGUUGUUACUCACGUGUAAUUGAAACCAUAACAAGCCACGCAGCCACUUCUAUUGGUAAUAAACCACAUUCCAAAAGCUGUGGCACAACAGAGGCCCUCAUCUGGUUUAUUGUGAAACAGGAAUAUUUGGAAUUUAAAAGCCUAGUUGUUCUGGAACGUGUCAGAAGAAGGAAACAUUUUCACAGGCAGCACGCAGUAAAACAUCAUAAAUAUAACAGAUUGUUAAAGAUCAUUUACAAAUUUAUGAAUAAGGCUAGAGGGAGGACCCAAAUGAAAUACAAACAGAAACAAACAACGCUCUCUGCGUUUCAGAGAAGGGGAAAAAUGAAACUUGGAACAGUCUGUGCUUUCUCUCCACGUCCAAUGCCAGGACAGAAGGAGCUACAAACACAUCUUGAAGUAAUCAUGCUUGUUUUUCCAAGUUGUAUGGUUUUGGCAAUUCUAAAACUACUUUCUGCAUAUUAGAGGACUGAGCAAAUAAGUAAAUGUGUUUAUCAUGCUGAAAGACAGGUUUCUUACAGCUGGGAAAGGCUAGCCACAGCCCUAAAUGCUGCGUGAGAAUGGGAGUGGUCCGUGACAAUUUGGUUUUCAAUACAGAGAAGCAUGUGUGCAGAUGUAUUAUAUAUGAUACACACACAGUUUAUAUGUGCAGAUAUAUAUGAUACACACACAGUUUAUAUGUGCGGAUAUAUAUGACACAUUUAUAUGUGCAGAUGUAUUAUAUAUGAUACACAGUUUAUAUGUGCAGAUGUAUUAUAUAUGAUACACACACAGCUUACGUGUGCAGAUAUAUAUGAUACACACAGUUUCUUUCCCAGCUCUGUCCACCGAAGGGGCCUAGAAGCAAUGCCACCCCAGAAACAACUGGCACACCUGAAAUCCAUUUCUUGGUUUGUAAAUACCAUUCUCUAUUCCAAGGGAACAGAACUCUUUGGAGAAAUGACUAUUUCCAGGGAAGAGCAGAGAGAGUACAGGGUGAGCCUUAGAAUGUCUAGUGCUGGAAAAUAAGGAAAUGCUGAACAACGUUGGGGACAUGUGAGAGGGCUGGAGGAGCAGCCUGAAGGCUCUCCCCCUGUCCAAAUCGGGGGCAAUUUGAGCAUAAAAAUAAUUGUAGGAAGAGGCCAGGAAGGUGACAGAAUAGGAGGUUCCAGCCCUCAUGCCCCCACAGAAACACUGAGAGGUUCUAGCACCCCACAGGGCAAAGAGAGCACACCGAAGAGGCUAAGAAGGUUCAGUUUACCUGUGCUAGUGCUCCUCCAAUGAGGCCCCCCUGGGCCUGUGGUUUCUCCCACAGGGGAAACUGAGUGCUGAGUGAGCACCAGCUUCCCCAACCUUAUAGGAUGCUGCCCAAUAGCCCACCUGUGUCUCUCCCCAGAACACUGAGGAAUCAGCAUGGCUGAGUCACCUGGGGACUGCUAGGAGAAGGGAAGGACAUGCCUAGCAACCAACAGCCAGCCAUGGAUCCCACUAACCAGCUAACACUCCACCAGGAGGCCCGCCCAUGAACCCACAGAACAACUUGCCUGUGGGCCCCCCAACCAACUGAUCCAUGCCCCCAGCACUCCACGUACCCCUGAGCAUAUGGUGUCUCAUGCACCCUCCUCCCAAACAGUACACAGAUCUCAACGGCAGAUGCAAAUCUGAGCAGCCGGCUUGACUCUGCUGGACUGGGAGAAGGUGCCCAACCUUGAAUGCUUCAGAGCACUGCAUUAGGGAAAAUGGGAGGUGCUCAGUGUAGACCCAGCUUUGGAGGAUUGAGAGGAGCUUACAACCUAAGACUUCUCUCCCUAAGAGGGAGCAACAGGAGUAGAGUGGGUGUAUCUACAGAAAAGAUCUGAGCGAUCCCUCAAAUCCUUAGCUAGGAUGACUGAUGAAGGUCUUUCUCUCCCAAAGCCAGUCAACAAAGACUGGGGGACAGCCAGGCAUGGUAGCUUACACCUGUAAUCUCAGCACUUUGGGAGGCUGAGGUGGGAGGAUCACUUGAGGCCAGGAGUUUGAGACCACCCUGGGCAACAUAGUGAGAUCCCAUCUCUUAAAAAAAAACAUUAAAAAAAUUUUAAUAAGAAACAAGUAAGACUAAAGGAGGUGACCGCUUCUUCAAAUGUGAAGAUAGCAGCGCAAGUCUUCAAAAAUAUAUAUAUACAAAGAAUCAAGGAAAUAUGACACCUUUAAAGCAACAAAAUAAAGCUCUAAUAGUUGACCCCAAAGAAAUGGGGACUUAAUGGCCAGGCUCAGUGGCUUACACCUGUAAUCCCAACACUUUGGGAGGCCAAGGCAGGCAGAUCACAAGGUCAGGAGUUCGAGACCAGCCUGACCAACAUGGUGAAACCCCAUCUCUACUGAAAACACAAAAAUUAGCCGGGCGUGAUGGUGCACGCCUGUAAUACCAGCUACUCAGGAGGCUGAGGUAGGAGAAUCACUUGAACCUGGGAAGUAGAGGUU